RNAcentral lists this ribosomal RNA (467 nucleotides) under uncultured bacterium. Its description in RNAcentral is "partial 16S ribosomal RNA". It matches the Rfam family "Bacterial small subunit ribosomal RNA", at positions 28 to 506 of the family's 1533-position model. The record is from RNAcentral.
GACGAACGCUGGCGGCGUGCUUAACACAUGCAAGUCGAACGGAAAGGCCCUGCUUUUGUGGGGUGCUCGAGUGGCGAACGGGUGAGUAACACGUGAGUAACCUGCCCUUGACUUUGGGAUAACUUCAGGAAACUGGGGCUAAUACCGGAUAGGAGCUCCUGCUGCAUGGUGGGGGUUGGAAAGUUUCGGCGGUUGGGGAUGGACUCGCGGCUUAUCAGCUUGUUGGUGGGGUAGUGGCUUACCAAGGCUUUGACGGGUAGCCGGCCUGGGAGGGUGACCGGCCACAUUGGGACUGGGAUACGGCCCAGACUGCUACGGGAGGCAGCAGUGGGGAAUAUUGCACAAUGGGCGGAAGCCGGAUGCAGCAACGCCGCGUGCGGGAGGACGGCCUUCGGGGUGUAAACCGCUUUCGCCUGUGACGAAGCGUGAGUGACGGUAAUGGGGAAAGAAGCACCGGCUAACUACGG